AUUGAACGCUGGCGGAAUGCUUUACACAUGCAAGUCGAACGGCAGCACGGACUUCGGUCUGGUGGCGAGUGGCGAACGGGUGAGUAACAUAUCGGAACGUAUCCAAUAAUGGGGGAUAACGAGUCGAAAGAUUCGCUAAUACCGCAUACGCCCUACGGGGGAAAGCUGGGGACCUUCGGGCCUGGCGUUAAUGGAGCGGCCGAUAUCUGAUUAGCUAGUUGGUGAGGUAAAGGCUCACCAAGGCGACGAUCAGUAGCUGGACUGAGAGGACGAACAGCCACACUGGAACUGAGACACGGUCCAGACUCCUACGGGAGGCAGCAGUGGGGAAUUUUGGACAAUGGGCGCAAGCCUGAUUCAGCCAUUCCGCGUGAGUGAAGAAGGCCUUCGGGUUGUAAAGCUCUUUCGCAAGGGAAGAAAACUUAGCCACUAACAUUGGUUGAGGUUGACGGUACCUUGAUAAGAAGCACCGGCUAACUACGUGCCAGCCGCCGCGGUAA
RNAcentral lists this ribosomal RNA (500 nucleotides) under uncultured bacterium. Its description in RNAcentral is "partial 16S ribosomal RNA". It matches the Rfam family "Bacterial small subunit ribosomal RNA", at positions 30 to 523 of the family's 1533-position model. The record is from RNAcentral.